AAGCACAGCGGAAAUAGUCUGGAUCACCAGAGCCAUUCGGUCACCCACGAGAGACCUCACCUACAACAACAACGGCAAAGUUAUGGCAACUAGCUGUGAGCAUAUGGCACCACUGGAGUUCUCGUCACGGUCAAACCACCCAACUUCAAAGAUUUAUUUUCUAGGAAACAAGUUAUGUUUCCUGGUGAAUAAAAGUGAAGUCAAGUGGCAAAGCUUCUAGACAGAUCAAAACAUGCAAGGUCUGCUGGAGAGGAACUAUGCUGAAGCAGCGGCGAGGAAGGCUGCACCACAAGAUGACUACUUGUUCAUCCCAAGCAACGAGCAUCAAUACCUUGCGGCAGCUGGGAGAUGAAGUUGUGGGCGUUGGCGGCCUUGGCGGCGGCGACCACCUCCUCCGCCGUGGCGUCCUCCUUGCCGAACAGGAUGUUCUCCCGGAUGGUGGUGGCGAACAGCGCCGGCUCCUGGCUGACGAGCCCCAUCUGCGCGCGCACCCACUUCAGCCGGAGCCGCCGGAGGUCCACGCCGUCGAGCGUCACCUCGCCGGCCGCCGGGUCGUAGAACCGCUCCAGCAGCGCGAUCACCGUCGACUUGCCGGAACCACUGCCGCCGACCAGCGCCACCGUGCGCCCCGCCGGCACGCGGAGGCUGAAGCUCACGAAGAUGGGGCUCUCCGGCCGCGACGGGUAGCAGAACUCCACGUUCCGGAACUCCACCUCGCCGGCGACGCUGCCCAGCUCCUCGCCGGCGCCGCUCUCCGAGUCGAUCUUGGGGACCCGCCGGAUCACCUCCAGCACCCUCUCCGCCGCCGAGCUCGCCUCCGAGAAGUACUUCACGUUCGACAGCCCCGACCCCAGCGCUCUGCAACCCAACCCACACACCACAUGCAUGCAAGGCACGUCGUCAAUGGCGCGUCGCCGUCGCCGCCGUCAAGAACUAUAUGAGUGGGAGGUGUUAGUGCGCACAGGCCGCCGACGACGAUGGCGGCGGAGACGGCGAAGACGGUGCCGCCCUGCUGGCCGUGGUACAUGACGAGGCGGCUGCCGUACCAGACGUUGAAGGCCCAGAUGGCGAAGGUGAUGCCGUUGCUGCCGACGGCGACGCCCUUGGCGAGCCCCUGCUUGAGCCCCAGCCUCGCCGACUCCUCCAGCGCCGCCGAGAACCGCGCCAUGGUGGCCCGCUCCGCCGCGAACGCGUACACCGUGCGCACCGACGACACGGCCUGCUCGGCGAAGGCGCCCGGCUGGGCGUACUGCUCCCGGAUCCGCCGCGCCAGGCCGACGAGGAUGCGGCCGUACAUGUACCCCGGGAUGAUGAGCAGCACCACCGACGGCAGCGCCACCAGCGUCAGCCGCCACAGCAGCGCGAACCCGACGGCGUAGCUGCCGGCGAACAUGGCGGCGUUCAUCACGAAGUUGGGCACCUUCUCGCUCAGCACGUCCUGCACCACCAGGCUGUCGUUCGACACGCUGGUGAUCACCUCCGCCGUCGACCCCUUCUUCAGGUCAAAGUACUCCACGUCUUGCCGGAGCACCGCCCUCAGGUACCUCGCCCGCAUCCGCGACGCCUGCCGCUCCGCCGUGCGCGCCCAGCAGUACCCCUCUGCUCCCACACACGCACACACACCUCGCCGGCGUCAGCUCGCCGCCGGCAUUGGCACGCGGCCAUGACCAGUACGUAAUGCAGAGCUACGGAGCUACCUCACCUAGGAACGCCAUGACCCACGAGCCGGCGGCCAAGAAGACGAGGUUCCUCGCGUUCUGCUCAGGAUCGAGCUAGGCGAUCGAGCGCGUACCACGUUGACCUUGGAGCUGAACUGCUGGACGAUGUCGGCGCCGCUGCCGAGGUCGUUGAAGAUGCGGCUGGUGAUGA
Long non-coding RNA from Oryza brachyantha (malo sina), 1869 nucleotides. RefSeq lists it as uncharacterized. The record is from RefSeq and is a predicted model, not a curated record. The transcript is spliced from 6 exons. NCBI's taxonomy places the organism in Eukaryota, Viridiplantae, Streptophyta, Magnoliopsida, Poales, Poaceae.